Molecule: ribosomal RNA, 253 nt
Filed under: uncultured bacterium
Lineage: Bacteria
Description: partial 16S ribosomal RNA
Rfam family: Bacterial small subunit ribosomal RNA
Source: RNAcentral
UACGUAGGGUGCGGGCGUUAAUCGGAAUUACUGGGCGUAAAGCGUGCGCAGGCGGUGAGCUGUGUCCGAUGUGAAAGCCCCGGGCUUAACCUGGGAAUGGCAUUGGAAACUGGCUCGCUGGAGUGUGGCAGAGGGGGGUGGAAUUCCGCGUGUAGCAGUGAAAUGCGUAGAGAUGCGGAGGAACACCGAUGGCGAAGGCAGGUCUCUGGGCUGACACUGACGCUCAUGCACGAAAGCGUGGGGAGCAAACAGG